GAGGUUGUAGCUCAGUGGUAGAGCACAUGGCUAGCAUGCAUGAGGCACUGGGUUUGAUUCUCAACACCACA
This 71-nucleotide transfer RNA is filed under the name Marmota monax (woodchuck). RNAcentral describes it as "tRNA.Ala". It matches the Rfam family "tRNA". From Rfam's summary of the family: Transfer RNA (tRNA) molecules are approximately 80 nucleotides in length. Their secondary structure includes four short double-helical elements and three loops (D, anti-codon, and T loops). The record is from RNAcentral. Lineage: Eukaryota; Metazoa; Chordata; Mammalia; Rodentia; Sciuridae.